Molecule: long non-coding RNA, 356 nt
Organism: Lolium rigidum
Lineage: Eukaryota; Viridiplantae; Streptophyta; Magnoliopsida; Poales; Poaceae
Exons: 2
Source: RefSeq, a predicted model, not a curated record
UUUAUAUUGGCAGCAGAUGCACAUCCUAAUUGGUCAUUCAACUUUAACUUGCAGUUCACUGCCAUGAACCCAACAAUGACAAGGCAAAUCAACAGAUACAAUAGAGGAGGCUGAAACAUGGAGCAGCUUCGUGGGCGCAGAAGCAGCAAGCGGUGGUUGGCAUCAGCAGUGAUAGCUACAGAACCAUGCUGUUCUCCUCUUGUUUCCAAGAUGUGUAGUCCAGCUGAGUAGAGAUAUGUUAGUCACUUCUCAGCAGAUUAUCUCUACAUGGUUUUAAUUGUUAACUGAUACUUUCUGUUUGUACCUGUUUGAGAUUUUUUUUAAAUCAGCGAAGCAAAGGAUUCAGUUCUUAAUUA